Molecule: unclassified non-coding RNA, 286 nt
Filed under: Hevea brasiliensis (rubber tree)
Lineage: Eukaryota; Viridiplantae; Streptophyta; Magnoliopsida; Malpighiales; Euphorbiaceae
Source: RNAcentral
GCUAACUAAUCUUCCCCUUCGUCUCCGGCAUUAUUCCACUUGGACGAACACUAGCUCACCGGCCGGCCAUGGCGUCUUCUUCCGUUCUGAUCAAGCUGCUCGUCGUCGUCGGCUGCGCCGCCGCGGCCUCCGCGGCGACGCUCACCGUGGGUGGUAGCUCCGGGUGGACGCUUGGCCAGAACUACGAUACUUGGGCAAGUGGCCAAACCUUCGCGGUUGGAGACAAGCUCGUGUUCAGCUUCGUUGGGGCGCACACGGUGACGGAGGUGAACAAGAACGAUUACGA